RNAcentral lists this unclassified non-coding RNA (285 nucleotides) under Glomus sp. RNAcentral describes it as "partial internal transcribed spacer 2". Lineage: Eukaryota; Fungi; Glomeromycota; Glomeromycetes; Glomerales; Glomeraceae. The record is from RNAcentral.
GUGAAUCAUCGAAUUUUUGAACGGAAAUUGCACUCUCUUCGGUGCGUAUGCGUGCUUGAGUGUCAGCCUAAAAAAAUCGACAUGGUUGCUUUUUCGCGGCGUCCUUCGUCGGAAAUUGGGUCAUCUUAAACGUUUGGGUUUUAAGCGGAUUAAAGUUUUCUUUACGAUUCCACGAACGCUUCUAAAUUUUACGUCUUACGUUUAUGGUAUCGCUUUUUAUUAGACUUGUCCGUUGCAUCGGGUUACGUUCAUAUAUAUUUAGUUAACUGAUCUCAUACAGGUCUG